CAAUUGAUAUUGAGUUUUGAUUACUCGCUCAUCAGACCCCAGAAAAGGUGUUGGUUGAU
Molecule: non-coding RNA, 59 nt
Filed under: Pan paniscus (pygmy chimpanzee)
Lineage: Eukaryota; Metazoa; Chordata; Mammalia; Primates; Hominidae
Source: RNAcentral